GACGAACGCUGGCGGCGUGCUUAACACAUGUAAGUCGAACGGAAAGGCCCUGCUUUUGUGGGGUGCUCGAGUGGCGAACGGGUGAGUAACACGUGAGUAACCUGCCCUUGACUUUGGGAUAACUUCAGGAAACUGGGGCUAAUACCGGAUAGGAGCUCCUGCUGCAUGGUGGGGGUUGGAAAGUUUCGGCGGUUGGGGAUGGACUCGCGGCUUAUCAGCUUGUUGGUGGGGUAGUGGCUUACCAAGGCUUUGACGGGUAGCCGGCCUGAGAGGGUGACCGGCCACAUUGGGACUGAGAUACGGCCCAGACGCCUACGGGAGGCAGCAGUGGGGAAUAUUGCACAAUGGGCGGAAGCCUGAUGCAGCAACGCCGCGUGCGGGAUGACGGCCUUCGGGUUGUAAACCGCUUUCGCCUGUGACGAAGCGUGAGUGACGGUAAUGGGUAAAGAAGCACCGGCUAACUACGUG
This 468-nucleotide ribosomal RNA is filed under the name uncultured bacterium. Its description in RNAcentral is "partial 16S ribosomal RNA". It matches the Rfam family "Bacterial small subunit ribosomal RNA", at positions 28 to 507 of the family's 1533-position model. The record is from RNAcentral.